UUUAUUGAAAUAGCUUUUCGGGAUCCAACUUAACAAUAGCACUUGAUGAUAUGGAUAAUUAAAUACAGAUAUUGAUGAUUUUAGGCAGAAUAUACAGUUUGUUCGUAUGGGAGAGGUGUGUCGAAAAGAUUUGGCCCCCAACUAACGGGGCAAACUAUAUUAACCCGCCGUGAUUUUAUGCUACAUAACUAAUACGGGUAUGUUUAAAAUAAAUAUGUACUAAUGACCAGACGCCAAAAGAGAAAAAGGGUUUUGUGUAACUUGAUGAUGCUCGUCAGUCGUCCAUUUGUUUGUGGAAUGUGUAAUCCAUGCUUUGAUCUUUUCACCUUUGCCACGGACGGAGAGCAGCUCUGUGGGCCAAAUUGUCAAAAUCACUAUAAAAAGAAGACGUGAAUAAUUGGGCGUUUCUCUCUAUAUAUUUAUAUGGUCAGUACCCAGUCGUGAGAGCACGGCAAUACACUAUGAAUAGACGAUUUCAACUCUUAUUAGACGUUAUUUUCUCAAUUAUUUAUGUACAUAAAUUUAUCUGUUACUCAUUCUCUGCGUGCUUCUUCAUGUCAUGUAUUUUGUACGUUAAAUAAUACACGAAACAAGUCAACAAUCUUAUCUACUUACAUGUGACAAAAAAUUUAGCACUCAACAAAAUUCGCAUUAAAAAUAAGAUAUGGUUAAUCUAUACAGUUGACAAGUAUCUUUGAUGAAAAAUAUGUUUGAUCAGCUCACACAAGAUAUUAAGAUAGAACAAUCUAGUGUUCCCUGUUCUAGUUAAUCGAAAAGAAAAUUAAGCAUAUCUCAACAGUCAACACGGUUUUUGUUUGGUACUUGAAUCUUCAUAUCUAAGAAAAAGGUGCAGAUGUUACUAGAGUCCCACGUCCUUGUAAAUAUAUAUUUCUGGCCCUUUUAACCCCCAAACCCAUCAUCCUUUUAAAACUUAGCUUCAGUUUUAACAUCUUUCUUCUUUGACAAUCAAAUCAAUCCAGAAAGAGGAAAGUGGUUGAUUGUUAAAUAUUCAAUUAAUCAAAUAUAAGCAAAGGUAUACAUAAAGAAGCAGAGGAGGAACAUAAAAAACUUUAAGGGGAUGUGCUUUGUAUUUGUUUGCGAUGAAGAUGAAAGGGUUCUACAAAGACAGGCAGCAGCAGGGGCUUGUCCUUACUGUGGAGGGAUGAUUCAAGUUGUGGAUUUGGAGAGCCAGUGGAAACUCUGCUUUGUUCCCCUUUCUUUCAAGAAAAAACGUAAAUAUUAUUGCACCAUCUGCACUAGGCGUCUAGUUAUCCAGUAAUUAUAUUUCUUGCUAUCUUUGUUUUAUUCUCGCAUCUAUGUAUGUAAGAUCAAUACCUUCAGCGCGGCUGAUUGUUCUAAAAUUGAUUGAGUUCUUACUAAUUUUUUAGAUAUAUUCAAAACGAUUAAAUUAUAUGUGAUUGAAAUUUGAUAAAACUUUAUCUCUAUAUCCGAUUAAUAAAAAUAUAACACAUAUUACCUUAUAUAACUAUAAUUAUUAUUUUUAACCAUAGUUAAAAAAUUACUUGUAUUUUAACAAUUUCUUCGUAGUUAUAUUUGCAACCUUUUUUGGUUACUGCUAAUUAGCUACAAGAAUAUCCUAUGUUUGUCUUACCUGCAAUAUAAUCCUACUAAUGGGUCUGGGGAAGAGGUUGUUUUCGGUAGACAUCAUCGGCUCCCUCCCAACAAGAACUCCACACCUUGCUCUUGGGGUGACUCGAACUCACAACCUCUUGGUUGGAAGCGGAGGGUGCUCACCACUAGAGCAACCCACUCUUGUACCACAUUUUAUGCCAAUUCAUUAUAUGUAUGGCUUUAUAUUUGGAUGCUGGUAUUUCAAAUCUAAGGACGUAACUAACGAUGUUCGGUUAUAAAAAGUUUAAAUUUAUCGUUCUAAUAAUAUGUUGAUAAAAAACAAAUUAAAUAUAUUAAAAUUGUCACAACACAAUUUCCCUUAUAGGACGCGAUGGAGUCCAACGUCGCCGCUAAGCAAACCAACGGUGAACUAGCCAUGUAAUUAUUUUCUUUAAUAAUUUCAAAAUAGUUGAUUUUAUUUAUUAAGUAAAUGAGAAGCGGAAAACUAUAUUAAGGUAAGGCGUGAACCAAUGAAAGAGCAAGACACGAGAAAUAAAUACCAAAAACUAUGAAGUGUCUACUAGCAUAUUCUCAAGACCCGGUGUCACAAGUGUAUGAGAAACUAGUAUAAUAUAUAAAACACCUAUGCUACUGUCUGAAACAAGAUAGAUAGAAAGUAAAUACAAAAGAGAGACUGCGGGUGCUACAGAACGGACUCAGAGAGCAGCUCACCAUUAUGCCUCAGGAUGACGGGGGUGCGCGCCUGAAUGAAUGCCAGAUAAACUUGCCUCAGAUCCUGUACGAUUAGUGCAAAAGUAUAUCGUGAGUACAUAAAUAACAUGUACCCAGUAAGUAUUCAAUCUAACCUCGAAGAAGUAGUGACGAGAGGCCGACAUCGAUAUUUACUACGGGCCAAUAAUAUAAAUACAGAAAUUCUAUAUAGGCAUGAAAUACAUGAAUAAUAAAAA
RNAcentral lists this long non-coding RNA (2540 nucleotides) under Nicotiana tabacum (common tobacco). Its description in RNAcentral is "long non-coding RNA (NTAB_LNC011596)". The record is from RNAcentral. Lineage: Eukaryota; Viridiplantae; Streptophyta; Magnoliopsida; Solanales; Solanaceae.